This 173-nucleotide non-coding RNA is filed under the name Ureibacillus massiliensis. The record is from RNAcentral. RNAcentral also lists the same sequence under 1 other name. Lineage: Bacteria; Bacillati; Bacillota; Bacilli; Caryophanales; Caryophanaceae.
UAUUUUUUGCAGGAAAAAGAUGCUGUAAGGCUAAAGGGAAUUCGGUGAAAAUCCGAAGCUGUAUCCGCAACUGUAAGUGUUAAUUUUUAAGUUGAUGCCACUGUCAAUUUGAUGGGAAGGUACUUAAAAUAAAAGGCACAAGCCAGGAGACCUGUCUUUUUCUGAUCGUAACA